CUACGGGAGGCACCAGUGAGGAAUCUUCCGCAAUGGGCGAAAGCCUGACGGAGCGACACCGCGUGGAGGACGAAGGCCUUUUGGUUGUAAACUCCUUUUCUGGGGGAAUAAAUGAUGAAGGUACCCCAGGAAUAAGCACCGGCUAACUACGUGCCAGCAGCCGCGGUAAUACGUAGGGUGCAAGCGUUAUCCGGAAUUAUUGGGCGUAAAGCGUUCGUAGGUGGUUUAAAAAGUCUAUGGUUAAAUCUGGUCGCUCAACGAUCAAAUCGCUGUAGAAACUUUUAAACUGGAGGAUGGCAGGGGCAACUGGAAUUCCACAUGUAGGGGUAAAAUCCGUUGAUAUGUGGAGGAACACCAAAAGCGAAGGCAGGUUGCUGGGCCAUUCCUGACACUGAGGAACGAAAGCGUGGGGAGCAAACAGGAUUAGAUACCCCCGUAGUC
Molecule: ribosomal RNA, 441 nt
Filed under: uncultured bacterium
Lineage: Bacteria
Description: partial 16S ribosomal RNA
Rfam family: Bacterial small subunit ribosomal RNA
Source: RNAcentral